RNAcentral lists this ribosomal RNA (492 nucleotides) under uncultured bacterium. RNAcentral describes it as "partial 16S ribosomal RNA". It matches the Rfam family "Bacterial small subunit ribosomal RNA", at positions 29 to 507 of the family's 1533-position model. The record is from RNAcentral.
AGUGAACGCUGGCGGUAGGCCUAACACAUGCAAGUCGAACGGCAGCACAGUAAGAGCUUGCUCUUACGGGUGGCGAGUGGCGGACGGGUGAGGAAUACAUCGGAAUCUACUUUUUCGUGGGGGAUAACGUAGGGAAACUUACGCUAAUACCGCAUACGACCUACGGGUGAAAGCAGGGGAUCUUCGGACCUUGCGCGAUUGAAUGAGCCGAUGUCGGAUUAGCUAGUUGGCGGGGUAAAGGCCCACCAAGGCGACGAUCCGUAGCUGGUCUGAGAGGAUGGUCGGCCGCACUGGAACUGGGACACGGUCCAGACUCCUACGGGAGGCAGCAGUGGGGAAUAUUGGACAAUGGGCGCAAGCCUUAUCCAGCCAUACCGCGUGGGUGAAGAAGGCCUUCGGGUUGUAAAGCCCUUUUGUUGGGAAAGAAAAGCAGCAGGUUAAUACCCCGCUGUUCUGACGGUACCCAAAGAAUAAGCACCGGCUAACUUCGUG